Molecule: ribosomal RNA, 182 nt
Filed under: Petromyzon marinus (sea lamprey)
Lineage: Eukaryota; Metazoa; Chordata; Hyperoartia; Petromyzontiformes; Petromyzontidae
Description: partial 12S rRNA
Source: RNAcentral
CACCGCGGUUAUACGAGGAGCUCAAGCUGAUAUCUCCGGCACAAAGCGUGAUUAAAAUAUUUAGCUUAAUUAAUACUAUAGAAGCCAUCAUGCCUGCUAGUUAAAUAGGUAUGCCUAAGUAUCCCAACAUCGAAAGAAUCUAUAUUAAUAAGCUCACUUUGAUAUCACGAAAGCAAAACUCA